GUUGGAUUAACCACAAAACCGAGAUAAAUAGUGUUCCCACCACUUGGUUGAUCAACUUCAGCAAACGUAUCACCUAUAACUCCACAUUACAAUCAAGGGAAGCACACCAAAAAAGGAAGUGAAAAAAUGGCUACAUUACAACCUCAAACAUGCUGCACCCCUGACAGGUUAUGUACAGAGCAGUCAGAUCAAAUCUAUUUUCAACGCAGAAUUUUGGUUUUAACCUGCAUCCUUGAUCGAGAUGGUCUGAAUGAGCUUCAUCCAACCUAUUUCGUAACACCUCUAGAUUGACCUCAUCAUCUCUGUUGAGCCUGAGUCCACAAGGAGAGCAAUAGAUAUGAUGACAGUCCUCUUUCAACUCUCCUUGCUUGCAGAUGGGACACCAAACCUCCUUGCCAGCCUUCUCAUUGAGGUUCAUGUGCUCGUACACUGCACGAGCCAAAUACUCAUCUUCUUCAUCCUCCCAAGUUUCAUUUGAAACUUGCUCUUUUGUUUCUUCCAUCCUGAGAUCUUCAUAGAAA
Molecule: unclassified non-coding RNA, 521 nt
Filed under: Hevea brasiliensis (rubber tree)
Lineage: Eukaryota; Viridiplantae; Streptophyta; Magnoliopsida; Malpighiales; Euphorbiaceae
Source: RNAcentral